This 861-nucleotide long non-coding RNA is filed under the name Heterocephalus glaber (naked mole-rat). Its description in RNAcentral is "lncRNA (ENSHGLG00000033033.1)". Lineage: Eukaryota; Metazoa; Chordata; Mammalia; Rodentia; Bathyergidae. The record is from RNAcentral.
CCUGCCUUUCCCAACUGCUCUCCAACAGCCAGAACUUCUGUGGCCUUAAACUACACUAAGCCUGCAGACUCACAGUGCAACAUACCCUCUGGUGAGGAAUACACACCAAGUUGUUGGUGCUGAUUCGACGGACCAUUUGGAGAGAACAGGUUGUACACCUGAAAUCUUAUUUCUUAGGACAUAUUAAAGUAAUUUUGAGUUAAAACUCCAUUCACUCACAGCAACAAGAGAGAUAAAACUGUUAGUAUUUAUCCAAAGAAGAAUGCUACUUUCUACUGUUGAUCUUGACAAAACAACCUCAGUGUCAUAAACCACUGAAAAACUACAUAGAAUCAAACUUGCUGGCAGAAGAACCAUGCCAUCAGUCUGUCUUCAAAUAGAGAUCAGGAGACGUUACAUUACUGACUGAAGUAAAAAUCUUUCUCCUGAUGUAGAACCUAAUUUUUCAAUACAUCUCCAGGCAAGAUAAUAUGACUAAAUUCAUUUGAAUUAUUUUAUUUCUACAUUUUGCUUCAUAGUAAAAGGAGUACAGUUUCUCUUGCAGGUCAGGAGUAUCCAUGAGACCUAAAGUAGUCCAAUGAGAUUGGGAUCUGAAAUGUGAAAUGACAAAGAAAUUCUUAUUGUGGCACAGCAAAGGAGGCAGAAUUAAUAUCCCAGAGCAGCAUGUGGCAAUGACAACACUCAGUGCUCCAUUCUGAAGGUGUCAGCAGUGUGAGCUGCAGGGGGGUUGUACCUGGUGACAAUGGAAGCUGUGUGCUCACCCAAGCAUGGAGUUCUGCAUGUGAUUUGUGCCAUUUUCCCUGAAAACGCAAUCUCUGAUCCUGAUUUUUCAUUCCCAUAUGAUUCCUAAUUUCCUUUUAG